RNAcentral lists this ribosomal RNA (431 nucleotides) under uncultured bacterium. Its description in RNAcentral is "bacterial SSU rRNA". It matches the Rfam family "Bacterial small subunit ribosomal RNA", at positions 354 to 796 of the family's 1533-position model. The record is from RNAcentral.
GUAGGGAAUUUUCGGCAAUGGACGGAAGUCUGACCGAGCAACGCCGCGUGAAUGAAGAAGUAUUUCGGUAUGUAAAGUUCUUUUAUUUGGGAAGAAAAAACAAAUUGACGGUACCAAAUGAAUAAGCCCCGGCUAACUACGUGCCAGCAGCCGCGGUAAUACGUAGGGGGCAAGCGUUAUCCGGAAUUAUUGGGCGUAAAGGGUGCGUAGGCGGGUUAUCAAGUCUUUGGUUAAAAUGCGGUGCUCAACGCCGUAUCGCCAAAGAAACUGAUAGUCUAGAGUAUGGUAGAAGUGAGUGGAACUCCAUGUGUAGCGGUAAAAUGCGUAAAUAUAUGGAAGAACACCAGUGGCGAAGGCGGCUCACUAGGCCAAUACUGACGCUGAGACACGAAAGCGUGGGGAGCAAACAGGAUUAGAAACCCUAGUAGUCC